RNAcentral lists this ribosomal RNA (372 nucleotides) under uncultured organism. RNAcentral's name for it is "bacterial SSU rRNA". It matches the Rfam family "Bacterial small subunit ribosomal RNA", at positions 526 to 896 of the family's 1533-position model. The record is from RNAcentral.
CGAAGGGUGCAAGCGUUACUCGGAAUUACUGGGCGUAAAGCGUGCGUAGGCGGUUUGUUAAGUCUGUCGUGAAAGCCCCGGGCUCAACCUGGGAAUGGCGAUGGAUACUGGCGAGCUAGAGUACGGUAGAGGAGAGUGGAAUUCCCGGUGUAGCAGUGAAAUGCGUAGAGAUCGGGAGGAACAUCAGUUGCGAAGGCGGCUCUCUGGACCAGUACUGACGCUGAGGCACGAAAGCGUGGGGAGCAAACAGGAUUAGAUACCCUGGUAGUCCACGCCCUAAACGAUGCGAACUGGACGUUGGGAGCAAUUAGGCUCUCAGUGUCGAAGCUAACGCGUUAAGUUGACCGCCUGGGGAGUACGGCCGCAAGGUUG